Clarias gariepinus (North African catfish) is the source of this 1078-nucleotide long non-coding RNA. RefSeq lists it as uncharacterized. Lineage: Eukaryota; Metazoa; Chordata; Actinopteri; Siluriformes; Clariidae. The transcript is spliced from 3 exons. The record is from RefSeq and is a predicted model, not a curated record.
UGCAGACACACUGCUGACAACAGGCCAGAAUUACAGCAUCAGCAACAUCAGCUCCCAGCACAGCGGACUGUACUACUGCACCGCUCACAACCAGCUGGGACAGCACAACUCCACACCAACAGAACUGGAUGUCUUAUGUAGGUACCAGUUUUUUUGUCUAUAUUUAUUACAUUCAAUAUCUAAUCAACAUCUCUUCUGAUCAGACGCUCCUCGAAUAACCAAUGUGACUGCCGUUCCAUCUGUUUCUGGUGAUUCCGUCACACUGUUGUGCGAAAGUGAUUCAAAUCCCAUCAGCGAUUACACCUGGACCAGGAGAACAGAGGGAGUUGUGAAACCGACUGGAAAUGGCAAUAAUUUAACUUUAGACUUAGGAGCAGAUGGACUUUACUACUGUACAGCAACAAAUCAGUUAGGAUCAUCCGAUUCAUCAGAAUGGGCAUAUACAGCAGAUAACAGAGCUGAGAAAUACGCAGUUACUGCAGUCACUGUCGUUCUGGUUCUGAUAUUCAUUGCUAUGAUUCUGUGGAUAAAGUAAGAAUCCAAAAUUAUAUUUGCAUUACUUUAAGGUGAUUUCUAUGAGUCAUCUAUACACAUAACCCAGUUAGUACAUAUUAGGAGGCAUUAUUUAAAAAUAAAUUAAAUAUCAGUCAACUGAAAAGAGUUGUGUUCUAUCAUAAAUCAGGAUUUGGGGUGACAGUGUGAAAUGGAAUUUCUCAUGGAUUUCCAUGUUUACAUGACAUUUAUGUCAGAAGUUUUUUUUACAUACAUCACAAGAGAUAAUUAUUAUGACCAAUUAAGUUUACACUUAUAAUCCUCAGUAAACCUCUUGUAAAGCAAACAUCCAUAUGGUUUCAGUUAAUGCAGACAAAAUUAAAAACACAGAUGCACAGAUUUAGCUUACCGAGUUGUUCACAUGCAAGUGUAUCUGUUGACGUGAUUGUUUUAUUACACACAUUCCAACAGGAGAAGCGCAUCAGCGGUCAGUACCAGGAGUGAGGAGCACAGCAAGAAGAGUUUUAACGAGAAUCACUCUACUCCUGUAUAUGGUAACAUCUCAGCCAUGACCUCUGACCCCACA